This 72-nucleotide transfer RNA is filed under the name Zenopsis conchifer. RNAcentral describes it as "tRNA-Asp". It matches the Rfam family "tRNA". Rfam says of the family: Transfer RNA (tRNA) molecules are approximately 80 nucleotides in length. Their secondary structure includes four short double-helical elements and three loops (D, anti-codon, and T loops). Lineage: Eukaryota; Metazoa; Chordata; Actinopteri; Zeiformes; Zeidae. The record is from RNAcentral.
AAGACACUAGUAAUAAAUUUAUUACAUUGCUUUGUCAAGGCAAAAUUGUGGGUUAAAAUCCCACGUGUUUUA